UUGUGGUAUUGAUUGAGGUAAGUGCCAGUUUUUGAAUCAAGUCUCUAGGUGUUGUAGGAAAGGAGUUAUGGGGAUUUUUGUAAAGUCAUUUGUGAAAUUUUUUCGUGGGGGGAACAAAGAUAAAAGUUGAUUUUUCUCGAAAAGUAUUGAUUUUUAGAAUUUUUUUAUUGAUUAUUAAAAGUUGUGGUAUUGAUUGAGGUAAGUGUCGGUUUUUGAAUCAAGUCUCUAGGUGUUGUAGAAAAAAAGUUAUGGGGAUUUUUGGAAAGUCAUUUGUAAAAUUUUCGUGGGGGGAACGAACAUAAAAGUUGAUUUUUCUCGGAAAGUAUUGAUUUUUAGGUUUUUUUUUAUUGAUUAUUAAAAGUUGCGGUAUUGAUUGAGGUAAGUGCCAGUUUUUGAAUCAAGUCUCUAGGUGUUGUAGGAAAGGAGUUAUGGGGAUUUUUGGCGAGUCACUUGUAAAAUUUUCGUGGAGGGAACAGAGAUAAAAGUAGAUUUUUCUCGGAAAGUAUUGAUUUUUAGGAUUUUUUUAUUGAUUAUUAAAAAUUGCAUUAUUGAUUGAGGUAAGUGUCGGUUUUUGAAUCAAGUCUCUAGGUAUUGUAGAAAAGGAGUUAUGGGGAUUUUUGGAAAGUCAAUUGUAAAAUUUUCGUGGGGGGAACGAACAUAAAAGUUGAUUUUUCUCGGAAAGUAUUGAUUUUUAGGUUUUUUUUAUUGAUUAUUAAAAGUUGCGGUAUUGAUUGAGGUAAGUGCCGGUUUUUGAAUCAAGUCUCUAGGUGUUGUAGGAAAGAAGUUAUGGGGAUUAUUGGAAAUUGAAACGUGAAAAUGACACCAAAAGAGAUAAAUGUUGAUUGAGUAGCUCUAUCGAUUUCUCUUUCUUUGUUAGAUCUAAAAGAGAGAGAGAGAGAGAGAAAAUAGACAAUAACUCAAUUGCCUGUAAGAAUCAUUCUAUUUCUCUCAGACAGUUGAUUGCACUUUCUGAUAUAGAGAGAGAAAGAGAAAAUAUAAUAUGCCCUAACUCAACUACUGCCUGGAAGAACCAUUUAUCAUUAUUUUUGUUUUAUAAAUGUAAAACAUAAUUUAUCUCCUUCUGAUCCUCUCAUUUCUCACUCGCCGCCUCUCUCGCUCAUAUUUUUUGUUCGUCUUCUCACGCUUUAAGAAAUAAUAAGAAAACUCUUUUUCUUAUGGAGAUUUCCCUGUAAUCUGUUCUUCCCGACCAUUGAAACUCAUCGGAGGAAGAUCUGAAUGGUUUGCAGACGAUACUGCUUUACCCAGACCUGUUGUCUUUUUAUUUCCGACGUUCCUGUACUAUGUUCAUCUUCAGGGUCGAUGAAAUAAAGCAUGAAAAUUGCACCAAAAAGAUAAAUGUUGAUUUUUCUCAGAAACUAUUGAUUUUUCAAUUUUUUUUUAUUGAUGCAUAAAAGUUUCUGUCUUGAUUGGAGCACGUGCUAAUUUUCGAAUCAAGUCUCUAUCUCUAAUAGCAAAGAAGUUAUGAGGUUUAUUGGAAAUUGAAACAUGAAAAUUGCACUAAAAAAAUAAAUGUUGAUUUUUCUCAGAAACUAUUGAUUUCUCAAUUUUUUUUAUUGAUGCAUAAAAGUUUCUGUAUUGAUUGGAGCACGUGUCAGUUUUUGAAUCAAGUCUCUAUCUCUAAUAGCAAAGAAGUUAUGAGGUUUAUUGGAAAUUGAAACAUGAAAAUUGCACCAAAAAGAUAAAUGUUGAUUUUUC
This is a long non-coding RNA of Anthonomus grandis grandis, 1716 nucleotides long. RefSeq lists it as uncharacterized. NCBI's taxonomy places the organism in Eukaryota, Metazoa, Arthropoda, Insecta, Coleoptera, Curculionidae. The transcript has 3 exons. The record is from RefSeq and is a predicted model, not a curated record.